This 373-nucleotide ribosomal RNA is filed under the name uncultured organism. Its description in RNAcentral is "partial 16S ribosomal RNA". It matches the Rfam family "Bacterial small subunit ribosomal RNA", at positions 527 to 896 of the family's 1533-position model. The record is from RNAcentral.
GAGGGGUGCAAACGUUGUUCGGAAUAACUGGGCGUAAAGGGUGUGUAGACGGUUUGUUAAGCUCGCUGUUAAAUUUCCUGGCCUAACCAGGAACCUGCGGUGGGAACUGGCAGACUAGAGGAUGGAAGAGAGAAGUGGAAUUCCCGGAGUAGCGGUAAAAUGCGUGGAUCUCGGGAGGAACAUCGAUGGCGUAGGCAGCUUCUUGGUCCAUUCCUGACGUUGAAACACGAAAGCGUGGGUAGCGAACAGGAUUAGAUACCCUGGGUAGUCCACGCCGUAAACGAUGAUCACUAGACGUAGGCUCGGCUUUGCUGGGUCUGUGUCGAAGCUAACGCGUUAAGUGAUCCGCCUGGGGAGUACGGCCGCAAGGUUA